Molecule: ribosomal RNA, 440 nt
Filed under: uncultured bacterium
Lineage: Bacteria
Description: partial 16S ribosomal RNA
Rfam family: Bacterial small subunit ribosomal RNA
Source: RNAcentral
CCUACGGGCGGCUGCAGUGGGGGAUAUUGCACAAUGGGGGGAACCCUGAUGCAGCGACGCCGCGUGAGCGAUGGAGUGCUUCGGCUUGUAAAGCCCUAUCAGCAGGGAAGAAAAUGACGGUACCUGACUAAGAAGCCCCGGCUAAAUACGUGCCAGCAGCAGCGGUAAUACGUCGGGGGCAAGCGUUAUCCGGAUGUACUGGGUGGAAAGGGAGCGUAGGCGGCCUGGCAAGCCUGAUGUGAAAUACCGGGGCACAACCCCGGGGCUGCAUUGGAAACUGCCAGGCUGGAGUGCCGGAGAGGCAGGCGGAAUUCCGAGUGUAGCGGUGAAAUGCGUAGAGAUUAGGAGGAACACCAGUGGCGAAGGCGGCAUGCUGGACGGUGACUGACGCUGAGGCUCGAAAGCGUGGGGAGCAAACAGGAUUAGAUACCCGUGUAGUC